Molecule: RNA transcript, 1624 nt
Organism: Hypomesus transpacificus
Lineage: Eukaryota; Metazoa; Chordata; Actinopteri; Osmeriformes; Osmeridae
Exons: 6
Source: RefSeq, a predicted model, not a curated record
ACAAUGUACAACUUCUUAGAAGUGUACAACACUCAUCUGCGAGAUGCAGGGACACAGGACUCUCUCCAGAUGUCUUACCGCAAAUUGAGGGAUGCAGUCAUAGCCUUUUGCAGCUUCUGUCUGCAGACUUUAGCUGGGGAUUCAAAUGUCCCAUCUGCCAAGAUAACUUCAAUGAGGUAGGUUGUUAUGGAUGCCACCUCUUUGGGGUAUCAGCAGCGGUAUGGCCUCAAAGAAAGGCUUGUUCCUGGCCAAACUGUAAUGAACAGUGGAAGAUAAGUCUAUGAUUUUCUUGUUUUAAUCAUUGUGUGUCUCAGUGUGUGUGCACGCCAAUGUUACCCCUAAUUUUUAAAUUUAAAUGAUUAAGGCCUUAUGUUAUUAUGACCUUUCUAAAUUUGUUUCUCCUUCAUUCAAUUUACCAGUCACAGAACGAGAACUUUGAUUCCUGAGCCAGACCUCCGCAAGCUGCUGCAGCGCUACAGUGCAGACGGGCUCCUCCCUGGAGAACACAGGGAAAUGAUGUCACAGAGUGCCAAAAGCGCCCCAUUCCUCCUGCCCCUUUUGCAGAAGCUGGCCCUGACUUCACCCACACAUGCAAGUGAGCCCUACCGCCCUCUCUUAACACAAGUCAGCAAGAACUCCCCUGCCUGUGCUCUUCUACAUCCCAGUAAAGAACUCGGGGAGUUGAUGUCAGAGAUGGAGGGAUUGAAGUACUGCCAGAUCGAGCAGCAACCAGCACUUUUAGGGAAACUUGCCAAGGAAUGCCCUUUGUUUUUUAGCUUGGUUGGGAUGGAAGGGACUUUUCCUCAGGAGGUGGUACCCAUCUUUCAGUGCCUCUAUAAAAAGGCACUGGAAACAGUGUCCACACCUCCGGUCUCGACACCCCUAACUUCCCCAGAUGAUCCUGGGCAUUACUUCCCCAAUCUGCCUCCUGUGAGAGACAGAGGCUUGUACACUACAGACAAGUGUAAAAAGGAGGCCAGUGACUGUAGGAAGACAGCAGGCAGACACCCUAACCUGAUCCCUGGCAUAUUCACCCUGUUCUGCACACAUGGUGUUUGUCUUGGGUUUUCAAUAAUGGAGCAAGUGGAGUCGGUGAACGUGCCGUUUACCAUACUCCGGACACGUUUUUUUCGACAAUGCCCCAAGACAGUCAUAUAUGACAACGCCUGUCAGCUGCAAACUUACUGCUUGCGGAGGGACCCAGGUUUUUUUUGAGAGACUUGGUUUCUUGUGGAUCGUUUGCACUGGAGCAACCACUCAGGGUGUAACAUUGGAUACAAUUUGGACAGCUAUCCUCAGUUCCAGAAAACAAAUUCUCAGGUGGCAGAGCAGAAUAACUCGCUCUUGAAGAAGAUGAAAGGACAACUCUCCUACAUGAACAGGGAGAACUUCAUCAGGCAUCUGAUGCCCCUCCUGUGGCACAGAUCAUGCAAAGUCAUAACAAAACUUUGAGGUAUGUAAUGACUUGGAGCAAUACACCCAAGACCAUCAACCAAAGGAUAUCGGCAGCCAACUCAACCACAAUAUGUCAAAAGUCAUUUUUCCAUCUGUAUUGUUUAUUUUCCCAUUUUAAGUGUUUGUUUAAUCAACUUGUUUCAUUGGCCCUGUUACAUAAACAAAUUAA